Homo sapiens (human) is the source of this 658-nucleotide long non-coding RNA. The record is from Ensembl. Lineage: Eukaryota; Metazoa; Chordata; Mammalia; Primates; Hominidae.
CAGUAAUGACCAGACACAUCACACCCGCCUUCUAGAAGCCCUCCCUCACAAACCGGAUCAACUGCUAUGAUAAAGGAAUUCAGCAUGAACUUGGCCACUCUGAGCGCCUAGAGGCCACACUCAGGUCGAAGGCACGUGGCCCUGUGACAACGUGGCAGCUCACUUCUUCAAAGCCAGCAGCAGACACUCUCAGCAGGUGGCCUCUAGGAGCUGAGGUUCUCAGUCCUACAACCACAAGGAAUGAAUUUUGCCAAAAAACAGUGAGCUUGCAAGAAGACACCAAGGCUCAGAUGAGACACCAGUCCCAGCCAACACCCUGAUUUCAGCCUGCAAGAUCCAAAGCUGCGAUCCCCAGUUGAGCCAAGCAAGCCCUGAUUUCUGACCUACAGGAACUGUGAGAUAAUAAAUGGGUAUUUUCAGCUGCUGCGUAGCCAUAGAAAACUAAUACAGAUUUCGGUGCCUGGAAGUGAGAUGUUGCUGUAACAAAUACCUAAAAUGGAGAAGGGUGGAGGGAUUUUGAGGAGCAUGAUAAAGCCUGCAUCUCCUUGUAGAAAUGUGGAUGGUUGCUUUGGGAGGCCGAGGCAGGAGGAUUGCUGGAAGACAGGAGUUCAAGAUCAGCGUGGGCAACAAAGUGAGACUCCGUCUCCACAAAAAAUAA